Molecule: ribosomal RNA, 442 nt
Filed under: uncultured Entrophospora
Lineage: Eukaryota; Fungi; Glomeromycota; Glomeromycetes; Entrophosporales; Entrophosporaceae
Description: SSU rRNA
Rfam family: Eukaryotic small subunit ribosomal RNA
Source: RNAcentral
AGCAGCCGCGGUAAUUCCAGCUCCAAUAGCGUAUAUUAAAGUUGUUGCAGUUAAAAAGCUCGUAGUUGAAUUUCGGGAUUGACGUGACGGUCGUGCCUUAAGGGGUAUGAACUGUCGCCGUUGAUUUCUCACCUUCUGGAGAAGCUCGAUGUCCUUAAUUGGAUGUCUUGUGGAACCAGGACCUUUACCUUGAAAAAAUUAGAGUGUUUAAAGCAGGCAUUUUGCUCGAAUACAUUAGCAUGGAAUAAUAGAAUAGGACGGCAUGGUUCUAUUUUGUUGGUUUCUAGGAUCACCGUAAUGAUUAAUAGGGAUAGUUGGGGGCAUUAGUAUUCAAUUGUCAGAGGUGAAAUUCUUGGAUUUAUUGAAGACUAACUACUGCGAAAGCAUUUGCCAAGGAUGUUUUCAUUAAUCAAGAACGAAAGUUAGGGGAUCGAAGACGAUC